GCUAGUAAUGGCAGGUCAGCAUACUGCCGUGAAUACGUUCCCGGGCCUUGUACACACCGCCCGUCACACCAUGAGAGUUGGGAAUACCCGAAGCCUGUGAGCUAACUUUUUAAGAGGCAGCAGUCGAAGGUAGAAUCAAUGAUUGGGGUGAAGUCGUAACAAGGUAAC
Molecule: ribosomal RNA, 168 nt
Filed under: uncultured bacterium
Lineage: Bacteria
Description: partial 16S ribosomal RNA
Rfam family: Bacterial small subunit ribosomal RNA
Source: RNAcentral